This 1356-nucleotide long non-coding RNA is filed under the name Phascolarctos cinereus (koala). Its description in RNAcentral is "lncRNA (ENSPCIG00000037391.1)". The record is from RNAcentral. Lineage: Eukaryota; Metazoa; Chordata; Mammalia; Diprotodontia; Phascolarctidae.
CUGUAUAUGGAAAUAUUCGUGUUUAUUAAUUUUUGUCAAGUUUAUAAUUAAAAAAAUAAAAGGAUAUUAAAGUCUAAAAGGAAAUACGUAAACUGCGUUUGUGGUGACAGGCAAAUUAGGUGCUGGGCAGGAAGAGUCUUUCAGGCGGUAGAGGGUCUCAAAAAGCUCUGGACAGAUCUCGCUUCCAGCAGUGUCCUCGCUCCUCCUCCAAUGACAUGCGCAAUGGCGAUCGAGCGGAGCUUUCCCUAAGGGGCUCCGUUUGUGGUUGGGCCUACUGAGAGGUAGGUAUAGGAUGCCUGGCCGGGUAGGGGGUAGGGUGUGCAGGGGAAGGUGGAGGGGAAAUGUGCAAAUGCCGGAGUGGGAGUGGGUAUCGCGACUUCAGGGGAAGAAGGUCGCUGUUGGGCCGCCUAACGGAAGCAACAUGAGCCCUAAAAUUUUGGGGAACCUUAGUGCCAAGGCCCCGCCUCUGCAGGAGACCUUCUGAAGGGAGGCCAGGGAUGCGUGCGCAGCUCCGAUACCAUUUCUGGACGCCUUGGUUCGGUGUAGGACAUCCGUCCUGCGAUCCUAUCUCCAGCGGAGGCAGGUUCCGGAACGCGGAAGGGGCAGGAGACUUGAACGGAAGCUUCCGCCAGCAAACUUUACUGAGUCCUCACUGUUACACAGAACGUGACCACUGCAAGGCACCUUUGAUAUCCUUCAGUACAACCCUCAUUUUACAGAUGAAGAAACUCAGAGACAAAAUGACUUUAGAUAGGUCACACAGCUGGUAACUGGCAGAGCCAGGUCAGAAAGCUAGAUCUCCUUACACCAAGUACCCGUGCUCUCUCCGUGAAACCAUGCCCCUGCUUACUCAGUGCCUUGGUUUUUUUUGAGUCCCCUGAGGUCUGAUUGUGUAACUGAAUCUGUUAUGGCCCUCCUGCUACUACUGAUGUGUCUCUGCUGUCAGUAACGUUUACCUGAGUGUUUAGUUUGUGUGAAAAAUGCACAUUCCUUGCUGUGGAUGCAGAUUUGAACCUUUAAUGAGGCUUUUUUUUUUUGGCAAGGCAAUUGGGGUUAAGUGACUUGCCCAGGGUCACACAGCUAGUAAGUGUCGAGUAUCAGUUCUGAUACAGGGUUUGAACUCAAGUCCUCCUGACUCUAGUGCUAGUGCUCUAUCCACUGCGCCACCUAGCUGCCCCCCUUAAUGAGGCUUUUGCUGAAGAAAUGCUUACCUUGGACAUGAAGAUAAUUUUUCAAGUCAUCCAGAAACCAAAUUUUAUCAAAAAGCAAACAGUCCUAGGUCAGGUAUACCAUCUUUGGAGAGCAGAAAACAGUCCAAAAAAUAAACAUAGCCACCUGCAUUUUAUAAUUAGGAAA